AGGCCCUUCGGGGUACUCGAGCGGCGAACGGGUGAGUAACACGUGAGCAACCUGCCCCUAGCUCUGGGAUAGCUCCGGGAAACCGGGAUUAAUACCAGAUACGACCACUUUAGACAUCUGCUGUGGUGGAAAGGAUUCCGGCUAGGGAUGGGCUCGCGGCCUAUCAGCUUGUUGGUGGGGUAACGGCCUACCAAGGCGACGACGGGUAGCCGGCCUGAGAGGGCGACCGGCCACACUGGGACUGAGACACGGCCCAGACUCCUACGGGAGGCAGCAGUGGGGAAUAUUGCGCAAUGGGCGAAAGCCUGACGCAGCGACGCCGCGUGGGGGAUGAAGGCCUUCGGGUUGUAAACCCCUUUCAGCAGGGACGAAGCGAAAGUGACGGUACCUGCAGAAGAAGCGCCGGCUAACUACGUGCCAGCAGCCGCGGUAACACGUAGGGCGCAAGCGUUGUCCGGAAUUAUUGGGCGUAAAGAGCUCGUAGGCGGUCUGUUGCGUCCGCUGUGAAAACUCGGGGCUUAACCCCGAGCCUGCAGUGGAUACGGGCAGACUAGAGGUAGGUAGGGGAGAAUGGAAUUCCCGGUGUAGCGGUGAAAUGCGCAGAUAUCGGGAGGAACACCGGUGGCGAAGGCGGUUCUCUGGGCCUUACCUGACGCUGAGGAGCGAAAGCGUGGGGAGCGAACAGGAUUAGAUACCCUGGUAGUCCACGCCGUA
RNAcentral lists this ribosomal RNA (714 nucleotides) under uncultured Actinomycetes bacterium. RNAcentral's name for it is "bacterial SSU rRNA". It matches the Rfam family "Bacterial small subunit ribosomal RNA", at positions 72 to 804 of the family's 1533-position model. The record is from RNAcentral. Lineage: Bacteria; Bacillati; Actinomycetota; Actinomycetes.